RNAcentral lists this ribosomal RNA (785 nucleotides) under uncultured Neocallimastigales. Its description in RNAcentral is "partial large subunit ribosomal RNA". It matches the Rfam family "Eukaryotic large subunit ribosomal RNA", at positions 23 to 644 of the family's 3401-position model. Lineage: Eukaryota; Fungi; Neocallimastigomycota; Neocallimastigomycetes; Neocallimastigales. The record is from RNAcentral.
ACACGCAUGACACACUGCAUAUCAAUAAGCGGAGGAAAAGAAACUAACAAGGAUUCCCUUAGUAACGGCGAGUGAAGCGGGAAGAGCUCAAAUUUGAAAUCUUCAAGGUUUUACCUUGACGAAUUGUAGUUUAAAGAAGUGUUUUCUGUUGAAGUUUUGGUAAAAGUUCUUUGGAAUAGGACAUCAUAGAGGGUGAGAAUCCCGUAUUUGACCAUUAUUUUCAGCUGUGUGAUACACUUUCAAAGAGUCGGAUUGUUUGGGAAUGCAGUCCAAAAUGGGUGGUAAAUUUCAUCUAAAGCUAAAUAUUGGCGAGAGACCGAUAGCGAACAAGUACCGUGAGGGAAAGAUGAAAAGAACUUUGAAAAGAGAGUUAAACAGUACGUGAAAUUGUCAAAAGGGAAGCGUUUGACACCAGUGUUGUUUCUCCGAAAAUCAAUUACGAAUGUUUUAUUUUUGAGAAGUUAUGACUUCAUCAGGCUUGCUUCUUUCUUUUCCUGAAAUUAUUGAAUGCACUUUUCGAGUUAACAAGUCAACAUCAAUUUCUUUUGUUGUAAAAGGGUAAUGAGGAAGGUGGCUUACUCUUUCGGCGUAAAGUGUUUAUAGCCUUGUACCUCUGCAAUCGGAGAGAUUGAGGAUCUAGCAGCGUAGACUCCUUCGGGGGUUAGAUACACUUGUGCUAAGCUAUAGCCUUGUAUAGACAACUUGUUGACUAUGCUCAGUCAUGUAGCUUACUCGCUUAGUGCUAUUUUACCUACGCUUAGGAUGUUGACUGAUAUGUAGUCGUA